CCAAUCGUGAUACAUCGGCUAUCUCGGAUUCCUCCGUAAGAUAGGCCUCGUGGCUAACGGUCGCCAUAUUGCCUUGUAUUACUACUUUACUACCCAAAAGGUUGUCAGUCUAUUGUUAUGAGGCUGUAUACGAUGCGCGUUGAACUAGCGCCAAACUUUUUACCGAAACUUUGAUAUAAAUAGCACUAUUAACGUUCAUUUGUGUUGCAUUUUGACCUAUUAUCCAAGUGAUUUACUUUUCCAUUUUUAUUUAAUCACCCUAUCAUCCAAUUUUUAAGAUGAAAUUACGGUGUUUACAAAACCAACCAAACCGAAAGUGAAACUGGAUGCAUUACGUUUCGCGAUGUAAACAUUAAAUAUUUGUUCAGUUUGAGGAAGCGAAUCGAUAAUAGACGUUGAAAUAUGUAUGCAAUACAGACUAUCAUUGCCGAUUGUAGUACUGGCUAAAAAAAUACCUUUUAUGACAGGUUUACUGGAUUAUGAAAGACUGAUAAACAUAAAAUUGACAACUCAUCUCCCCAACGAUACUUUGUGUGGCUCAUUCUCGGAACAAACCCAUAGUCAGUGAGAAAACUACAGUGUAAAAAGACCACUUGAUUGUGACAAUUAUGGCUGACCAAGCAAAUGUUAUCAUUUAAAAUAAAGAAAACUUCCAGUUCAAUAUACAUUUUAUACCAAUUAUGACAUUGGCCAACACAGAAAAUAAUUAUCAGGUUGAUUUUCUCAAAAUUGACUGUUACAAUUGGAUACUGUUUUAAGCUUCACUCUACUUUGUCUGAAAAUAAAAGUCCUUAAUGAUGUAAUAGAAACAUACAUAUUUAAUUUUUAGUUUUACAAGGAUAUAUAUAUAUAUAUAUAUAUAUACAUAUAUUAUAAUAUCUUUUUAUCGAUGGUCAAUCAAUUUAAGUUUAACUAAUAUAUACAUACACAUUUUAUACAUGUGUAUGCUUUGAUUUUUUUUCUAUUGAAGCCAAAUUUAUAUCCUAUUAGAUAGAUAGAUAAUAUCACAGCAGUAUUCCUAGUUUGUCUGCAAGUACUGCAGAAAUCAUGGAUUAUUAUUUUACUGAGUCAGCCUUAAUCUUUAUAUUAUAAUUGUUAAAACAGAUUAAGAUGUGCAUUAUACAAUUUAGGAUGCAUCAAGAUUAAAAAAUGGUACAUGUAUAAAUUAAUAAAGAAUCAAUAACAAUCAGAAACUGUGCAUUUUUUUCAGUAUUGUGUGGAAGGAUUUGAAGUAAUUAUGUGUUUUUGAAAAAUGAUUUAUGUGAAUUUGAAUAAAUAUAUAAAAUUUA
This is a long non-coding RNA of Dreissena polymorpha, 1289 nucleotides long. RefSeq lists it as uncharacterized. The transcript has 2 exons. Lineage: Eukaryota; Metazoa; Mollusca; Bivalvia; Myida; Dreissenidae. The record is from RefSeq and is a predicted model, not a curated record.